RNAcentral lists this ribosomal RNA (253 nucleotides) under uncultured bacterium. RNAcentral's name for it is "partial 16S ribosomal RNA". It matches the Rfam family "Bacterial small subunit ribosomal RNA", at positions 524 to 776 of the family's 1533-position model. The record is from RNAcentral.
UACGGAGGGUGCGAGCGUUGUUCGGAAUCACUGGGCGUAAAGCGCGUGUAGGCGGCCCACUAAGUCUGAUGUGAAAGCCCGGGGCUCACCCCCGGAAGUGCAUUGGAAACUGGUGGACUCGAGUCCCGGAGAGGAGAGUGGAAUUCCUGGUGUAGCGGUGAAAUGCGCAGAUAUCAGGAGGAACACCAAUGGCGAAGGCAGCACUCUGGGACGGUACUGACGCUGAGACGCGAAAGCGUGGGGAGCAAACAGG